UACGAAGGGGGCUAGCGUUGCUCGGAAUUACUGGGCGUAAAGCGCACGUAGGCGGGUCGUUAAGUCGGAGGUGAAAUCCUGGAGCUCAACUCCAGAAUUGCCUACGAAACUGGCGAUCUCGAGUCCGGGAGAGGUGAGUGGAACUGCGAGUGUAGAGGUGAAAUUCGUAGAUAUUCGCAAGAACACCAGUGGCGAAGGCGGCUCACUGGCCCGAGACUGACGCUGAGGUGCGAAAGCGUGGGGAGCAAACAGG
RNAcentral lists this unclassified non-coding RNA (253 nucleotides) under Bradyrhizobiaceae bacterium. RNAcentral describes it as "partial 16S ribosomal RNA". It matches the Rfam family "Bacterial small subunit ribosomal RNA", at positions 524 to 776 of the family's 1533-position model. Lineage: Bacteria; Pseudomonadati; Pseudomonadota; Alphaproteobacteria; Hyphomicrobiales; Nitrobacteraceae. The record is from RNAcentral. RNAcentral also lists the same sequence under 1 other name.